This 465-nucleotide ribosomal RNA is filed under the name uncultured bacterium. RNAcentral's name for it is "partial 16S ribosomal RNA". It matches the Rfam family "Bacterial small subunit ribosomal RNA", at positions 338 to 795 of the family's 1533-position model. The record is from RNAcentral.
CCUACGGGAGGCAGCAGUAGGGAAUCUUCCACAAUGGGCGAAAGCCUGAUGGAGCAACGCCGCGUGGGUGAAGAAGGUCUUCGGAUCGUAAAACCCUGUUGUUAGAGAAGCAAGUGCGUGAGAGUAACUGUUCACGUUUCGACGGUAUCUAACCAGAAAGCCACGGCUAACUACGUGCCCGCAGCCGCGGUAAUACGUAGGUGGCAAGCGUUAUCCGGAUUUAUUGGGCGUAAAGGGAACGCAGGCGGUCUUUUAAGUCUGAUGUGAAAGCCUUCGGCUUAACCGGAGUAGUGCAUUGGAAACUGGGAGACUUGAGUGCAGAAGAGGAGAGUGGAACGCCAUGUGUAGCGGUGAAAUGCGUAGAUAUAUGGAAGAACCCCAGUGGCGAAAGCGGCUCUCUGGUCUGUAACUGACGCUGAGGUUCGAAAGCGUGGGUAGCAAACAGGAUUAGAUACCCGUGUAGUC